Non-coding RNA from Pocillopora verrucosa, 749 nucleotides. NCBI's taxonomy places the organism in Eukaryota, Metazoa, Cnidaria, Anthozoa, Scleractinia, Pocilloporidae. The record is from RefSeq and is a predicted model, not a curated record.
UUGGUUGAAACCUUGUGUUAUGUGUUUUGGUGAGAAAAUUCAACAUUCACAAUAACUCUCUGCCAGGUGUUUAAAUAGUUACCGGUGAACUGUCAGAGAAAUCUGACAAACUACUUAAGGGUGCCCCACCAGAAGAAGAAGAAGCGAGGCUCUUAGUACAUGUGCCAUCAUACCACAGAUACCGGAACAUACGUUAAUGGCUGUGGGAGUUAUAAUUAGUUUCGUGUGCGGGGAAUAAAUAGCCUUUAUCUCAAAUUGAUUUUCACUUUCUCGAAGGAUGUUGAAUGUAAUGUUUCUUCUCUGUAUUAGAAUGUAAGCUUUUAUUAUCUCCUGAUGGAGUUCUGUCGAUAUAGAUACCGUUCUUACGCAUUAAACUGAUGUGCAUACUUAAAGAAUGAUGUGAACGUUUUAGAAAUCAAUUCAUUUAUAUCUCGAAGUUUGGUUCUCUCCUUAGGAAAACAUCAAGCAUAGAAUGUGAACUUCUCGAAAUAAGAAAUUCGAGGGAGGAAAGAGAAACCGGACAACUUUUAAUCUGGGCAGGGUCAAGAAUAGAAUGAAAGCAAAAAUUUGGAAAUCAAGAGAUACAAGGGAGGAAAAUGAAGAUGGAGGGAAGCAUCCAAUAAGAGUCGGAAGAUGAGGAUGAAAACAGGGACUCAAAGAGGAUUGGAGAAUUGGAAUGGGAAAUGCACAGAGAGAUCAAUGAUGAAGAACUCGGCAAACUGUAAGUUGUUUGACUAACUUUACAGUAC